Molecule: ribosomal RNA, 346 nt
Filed under: uncultured bacterium
Lineage: Bacteria
Description: partial 16S ribosomal RNA
Rfam family: Bacterial small subunit ribosomal RNA
Source: RNAcentral
CCUACGGGCGGCAGCAGUGGGGAAUAUUGCGCAAUGGGCGAAAGCCUGACGCAGCGACGCCGCGUGAGGGAUGAAGGUCUUCGGAUCGUAAACCUCUGUCAGCAGGGAAGAACGGUCACGGUGCUAAUCAGCAGUGAAUUGACGGUACCUGCAAAGGAAGCACCGGCUAACGCCGUGCCAACAGCCGCGGUAAUACGGAGGGUGCGAGCGUUAAUCGGAAUUCCGGGGCGGAAAGCGCUCGUAGGCGGUAUGUCAAGGCCAGGGUGAAAUCCCCGCGCUCAACGUCGGAACUGCCUUUGAAACUGCCAACCUGGAGUGUGUGAGAGGUUAGUGGAAUUCCAGGUGU